UACGUAGGUGGCAAGCGUUGUCCGGAUUUACUGGGCGUAAAGAGCGCGCAGGCGGUCGUUCAAGUCGCGUGUGAAAGACCCCGGCUCAACUGGGGGAGGUCGUGCGAUACGGGCGGACUGGAGGCCAGUAGGGGGAUGCGGAAUUCCGGGUGUAGUGGUGGAAUGCGUAGAGAUCCGGAGGAACACCAGCGGCGAAGGCGGCAUCCUGGACUGGUCCUGACACUCAUGAGCGAAAGCGUGGGGAGCGAUCCGG
This 253-nucleotide ribosomal RNA is filed under the name uncultured bacterium. RNAcentral's name for it is "partial 16S ribosomal RNA". It matches the Rfam family "Bacterial small subunit ribosomal RNA", at positions 524 to 776 of the family's 1533-position model. The record is from RNAcentral.